Molecule: long non-coding RNA, 441 nt
Organism: Eriocheir sinensis (Chinese mitten crab)
Lineage: Eukaryota; Metazoa; Arthropoda; Malacostraca; Decapoda; Varunidae
Exons: 3
Source: RefSeq, a predicted model, not a curated record
CACCUGGAAAUGCCCACAACUCCUACGAAAGCCUUGUCAAAUAUGUGUUCCUUAGGUUCACGGUACAGAGGGAGGGUCAAACUACCACCAGGGUCAUAAAACUACUCCUGGAAAUGCCCACAACUCCUACGAAAGCCUUGUCAAAUAUGUGUUCCUUAGGUUCACGGUACAGAGGGAGGGUCAAACUACCACCAGGGUCAUAAAACUACUCCUGGAAAUGCCCACAACUCCUACGAAAGCCUUGUCAAAUAGGUGUUCCUUAGGUUCACGGUACAGAGGGAGGGUCAAACUACCACCAGGGUCAUAAAACUACUCCUGGAAAUGCCCACAACUCCUACGAAAGCCUUGUCAAAUAUGUGUUCCUUAGGUUCACGGUACAGAGGGAGGGUCAAACUACCACCAGGGUCAUAAAACUACACCUGGAAAUGCCCACAACUCCUA